CACACAUAAUACUCACUCUCACAGAUCAUUCAUACACAGUGUAAUAUACACACACAUUCAUGCACAAAAAGCUUCACAAACACAUAUCACCUUGACAGGAAUUCCAUACACAUAUACCCAUCAUUGAUGCACACACACAGUGAAGAAAUCGUGAGGGAAUGGAAGUAAAUUAGUGAGAAUCGAGAGAAUGAAGGGGGUUUGAUAGGGAUCCAGUAAAGAAGCGGUGAAAAUAUCCCGGGUUUAGAGUUUCUCCGAUGAAAUCUUUAUUGGAAUCGAUCCCAACUUUUCAAACUAUUACGCCCAGCCUCAAAAUCCCCUCCAAAUAUUUUUGUCUACUUGAUUUUUAGGCGAAAUCCCUCCGGAGAACAUUAAGGUCACUGGAAUCUAACUUGUGUCAUUGAUUUUCGUCGACGUCUAAGUUCACCGAAGCUCCGAUCACACAGGUUUCUCAAUUUUUCUUGUAAUUUUUUUGGGGUUCUCGAAUUGCUCGAUUCGUGUUUGUGGAUUUCUUUUUGGACUGUGUUUUUGGGAAUAGUCCGUGUUUGAAGUUUGGCUGAUAGUCGAGAUUCAUUAUUCGCUGAGGAUAUUUGGUAUGACUUUUUAUUCCCUUCAUAAAUUAAUCGUAAGUAUUCGGAAGGUCCAAUUCUAUCUUCUCUUCUUUUAAUUUUUACAUAAUUAUGAAUUAUUUGUGUGUUUGGCAUGUUUGAAUCUUCGUUGUGUGUUGGUUGAUGUUGGAU
This 737-nucleotide long non-coding RNA is filed under the name Capsicum annuum. RNAcentral describes it as "long non-coding RNA (CANN_LNC018495)". The record is from RNAcentral. Lineage: Eukaryota; Viridiplantae; Streptophyta; Magnoliopsida; Solanales; Solanaceae.